This 253-nucleotide ribosomal RNA is filed under the name uncultured bacterium. RNAcentral's name for it is "partial 16S ribosomal RNA". It matches the Rfam family "Bacterial small subunit ribosomal RNA", at positions 524 to 776 of the family's 1533-position model. The record is from RNAcentral.
UACAGAGGGUGCGAGCGUUAAUCGGAAUUACUGGGCGUAAAGGGCGUGUAGGCGGCUGGAUAAGUGGGAUGUUAAAUCCCCCGGCUCAACCGGGGACCUGCAUCUCAUACUGUUCAGCUCGAGCACAUCAGAGGAGACUGGAAUUCCCGGUGUAGCGGUGAAAUGCGUAGAUAUUGGGAGGAACACCGGUGGCGAAGGCGGCUACCUGGACCGGUACUGACGCUGAGGCGCGAAAGCUGGGGUAGCAAACAGG